RNAcentral lists this non-coding RNA (24 nucleotides) under Arabidopsis thaliana (thale cress). The record is from RNAcentral. Lineage: Eukaryota; Viridiplantae; Streptophyta; Magnoliopsida; Brassicales; Brassicaceae.
GCGAACGACUAUAAUUGUACAUCG